UACGGGAGGCAGCAGUGGGGAAUAUUGCACAAUGGGCGCAAGCCUGAUGCAGCGACGCCGCGUGGGGGAUGACGGCCUUCGGGUUGUAAACUCCUUUCGCUAGGGACGAAGCUUUUUGUGACGGUACCUAGAUAAGAAGCACCGGCUAACUACGUGCCAGCAGCCGCGGUAAUACGUAGGGUGCGAGCGUUGUCCGGAAUUACUGGGCGUAAAGGGCUCGUAGGUGGUUUGUCGCGUCGUCUGUGAAAUUCCGGGGCUUAACUCCGGGCGUGCAGGCGAUACGGGCAUAACUUGAGUACUGUAGGGGUAACUGGAAUUCCUGGUGUAGCGGUGAAAUGCGCAGAUAUCAGGAGGAACACCGAUGGCGAAGGCAGGUUACUGGGCAGUUACUGACGCUGAGGAGCGAAAGCAUGGGUAGCGAACAGGAUUAGAUACCCUGGUAGUCCAUGCCGUAAACGGUGGGCGCUAGGUGUGAGGGUCUUUUCACGACUUUCGUGCCGUAGCUAACGCAUUAAGCGCCU
RNAcentral lists this ribosomal RNA (521 nucleotides) under uncultured bacterium. RNAcentral describes it as "bacterial SSU rRNA". It matches the Rfam family "Bacterial small subunit ribosomal RNA", at positions 340 to 869 of the family's 1533-position model. The record is from RNAcentral.